UGUGGGUGGCGAGUGGCGGACGGGUGAGUAAUGCAUCGGGACCUGCCCAGACGUGGGGGAUAACGUAGGGAAACUUACGCUAAUACCGCAUACGUCCUACGGGAGAAAGCGGGGGAUCGAAAGACCUCGCGCGGUUGGAUGGACCGAUGUUCGAUUAGCUAGUUGGUGAGGUAAUGGCUCACCAAGGCGACGAUCGAUAGCUGGUCUGAGAGGAUGAUCAGCCACACUGGGACUGAGACACGGCCCAGACUCCUACGGGAGGCAGCAGUGGGGAAUAUUGGACAAUGGGCGAAAGCCUGAUCCAGCAAUGCCGCGUGUGUGAAGAAGGCCUUCGGGUUGUAAAGCACUUUUAUCAGGAGCGAAAUACUGCCGGCUAAUACCCGGCGGGGCUGACGGUACCUGAGGAAUAAGCACCGGCUAACUUCGUGCCAGCAGCCGCGGUAAUACGAAGGGUGCAAGCGUUAAUCGGAAUUACUGGGCGUAAAGCGUGCGUAGGCGGUUCUUUAAGUCUGCUGUGAAAUCCCCGGGCUCAACCUGGGAAUGGCAGUGGAUACUGGAGAGCUAGAGUGUGAUAGAGGAUGGUGGAAUUCCCGGUGUAGCGGUGAAAUGCGUAGAGAUCGGGAGGGAACAUCAGUGGCGAAGGCGGCCAUCUGGAUCAACACUGACGCUGAGGCACGAAAGCGUGGGGAGCAAACAGGAUUAGAAUACUCUGUUAGUCCACGCCCUAAACGAUGCGAAGCUGGAUGCUGGUCUCAACUCGGAGAUCA
RNAcentral lists this ribosomal RNA (767 nucleotides) under Dyella sp. RNAcentral's name for it is "bacterial SSU rRNA". It matches the Rfam family "Bacterial small subunit ribosomal RNA", at positions 83 to 842 of the family's 1533-position model. Lineage: Bacteria; Pseudomonadati; Pseudomonadota; Gammaproteobacteria; Lysobacterales; Rhodanobacteraceae. The record is from RNAcentral.